GAUGAACGCUGGCGGCGUGCCUAAUACAUGCCAGUCGAGCGAACAGACGAGGAGCUUGCUCCUCUGACGUUAGCGGCGGACGGGUGAGUAACACGUGGAUAACCUACCUAUAAGACUGGGAUAACUUCGGGAAACCGGAGCUAAUACCGGAUAAUAUAUUGAACCGCAUGGUUCAAUAGUGAAAGACGGUUUUGCUGUCACUUAUAGAUGGAUCCGCGCCGCAUUAGCUAGUUGGUAAGGUAACGGCUUACCAAGGCGACGAUGCGUAGCCGACCUGAGAGGGUGAUCGGCCACACUGGAACCGAGACACGGUCCAGACUCCUACGGGAGGCAGCAGUAGGGAAUCUUCCGCAAUGGGCGAAAGCCUGACGGAGCAACGCCGCGUGAGUGAUGAAGGUCUUCGGAUCGUAAAACUCUGUUAUUAGGGAAGAACAAAUGUGUAAGUAACUAUGCACGUCUUGACGGUACCUAAUCAGAAAGCCACGGCUAACUACGUG
Molecule: ribosomal RNA, 497 nt
Filed under: uncultured bacterium
Lineage: Bacteria
Description: partial 16S ribosomal RNA
Rfam family: Bacterial small subunit ribosomal RNA
Source: RNAcentral